This is a small nucleolar RNA of Macaca fascicularis (crab-eating macaque), 79 nucleotides long. Its record names the gene U3. It matches the Rfam family "Small nucleolar RNA U3". From Rfam's summary of the family: Small nucleolar RNAs (snoRNAs) are involved in the processing and modification of rRNA in the nucleolus. There are two main classes of snoRNAs: the box C/D class, and the box H/ACA class. The record is from Ensembl. NCBI's taxonomy places the organism in Eukaryota, Metazoa, Chordata, Mammalia, Primates, Cercopithecidae.
AAGACUGUACUUUCAGGGAUCAUUUCUAUAGUUUGUUACCAGAGUAGUUUCUCUGAACGUGUAGAGCACUAAAAUGCUA